GAUGAACGCUAGCGGCAGGCUUAACACAUGCAAGUCGAGGGGCAGCGUGGAGCAGCAAUGCUCUGACGGCGACCGGCGGAAGGGUGCGUAACACGUGAGCGACUUGCCCGUCACAGGGGGAUAACCGGCGGAAACGGCGACUAAUACCCCAUAUGAUGCGAUGCUGCAUGGCAUUGCAUUGAAAGAUUCAUCGGUGGCGGAUAGGCUCGCGGGACAUUAGCUAGACGGCGGGGCAACGGCCCACCGUGGCGACGAUGUCUAGGGGUUCUGAGAGGAAGGCCCCCCACACUGGGACUGAGACACGGCCCAGACUCCUACGGGAGGCAGCAGUGAGGAAUAUUGGUCAAUGGGCGGAAGCCUGAACCAGCCAUGCCGCGUGAAGGACUAAGGCCCUACGGGUCGUAAACUUCUUUAGACGCAGAGCAAUAAGGUCCACGCGUGGACCGAUGAGAGUAUGCGUAGAAUAAGCAUCGG
RNAcentral lists this ribosomal RNA (474 nucleotides) under uncultured bacterium. RNAcentral describes it as "bacterial SSU rRNA". It matches the Rfam family "Bacterial small subunit ribosomal RNA", at positions 28 to 496 of the family's 1533-position model. The record is from RNAcentral.